CAAUAGCGUAUAUUAAAGUUGUUGCAGUUAAAAGCUCGUAGUUGGAUUUCGGAGUGGGCCAGUUGGUCCGCCGCAAGGUGUGUUACUGACUGGUUUGCUUUCUUCGUCAAAGACUGACGUGUGCUCUUGAGUGAGUUGUGCGUAGAAUUACGAAUCGUUACUUUUGAAAAAUUUAAAUGAGUGUUCUAAAAGCAGGCUAUUGCUUGAAUACAUGAGCAUGGAAUAAUGGAAUAGGACUUUGGUCCCAUUUUGUUGGUUUCUAGGGCCGAAGUAAUGAUUAAGAGGGACAAUUGGGGGCAUCCGUAUUUCGUUGUCAGAGGUGAAAUUCUUGGAUUUACGAAAGACGAACAACUGCGAAAGCACUUGCCAAGAGUGUUUUCAU
Molecule: ribosomal RNA, 382 nt
Filed under: uncultured eukaryote
Lineage: Eukaryota
Description: SSU rRNA
Rfam family: Eukaryotic small subunit ribosomal RNA
Source: RNAcentral